AAGUGGUAACAGGUAGUAGCUCUGGUAGAGU
This 31-nucleotide small RNA is filed under the name Arabidopsis thaliana (thale cress). Lineage: Eukaryota; Viridiplantae; Streptophyta; Magnoliopsida; Brassicales; Brassicaceae. The record is from RNAcentral.